Molecule: long non-coding RNA, 756 nt
Filed under: Oncorhynchus kisutch (coho salmon)
Lineage: Eukaryota; Metazoa; Chordata; Actinopteri; Salmoniformes; Salmonidae
Description: lncRNA (ENSOKIG00005042380.1)
Source: RNAcentral
UCUCUCUCUCUCUCUCUGUGUAGGAGUUGUUAGACUAAUCAUAACCAUGUCUCUCUCGCUCUCUCUCUGUGUAGGAGUUGUUAGACUAAUCAUAACCAUGUCUCUCUCUCUCUCUCUCUGUGUAGGAGUUGUUAGACUAAUCAUAACCAUGUCUCUCUCUCUCUAGUCUCUGUGUAGGAGUUGUUAGACUAAUCAUAACCAUGUCUCUCUCUCCCUCUCUCUGUGUAGGAGUUGUUAGACUAAUCAUAACCAUGUCUCUCUCGGUGUAGGAGUUGUUAGAGGAGACAAGUCGUAAGCAUGUCCAGAAGACUGCGUGUCAGAGAAUAGGCCGUGUGCUGGUACAUGUUCUGGCCUGGUUCAUCUGUAUCGGCAGUACAGUGGCCUGUGUUCUAGCUCUCUACUACUUCUCUGAGUACAUGCACAAGGUAAUCCAGGAUAGUAGAUCUCGUAUUCCCACUAAGGACCCUCUCCUGAAGGAAGCCAGUCUGUUGGCCCUGCCAGUCGUAGUGUCUCUCAUCAACCUCCUGCUCCCUGGCAUCUUCAACGCUACUGCCUGGAUGGAGAGUACGACUCGCCCAGCGUAAACACAUACAUCGCCAUCAGCAGGGUAGGGGGUGGGCCUGCAGUCCACAAACUGUGUGUGUGUGUGUGUGUGUGUGUGUGUGGAGCACUAUGACUCCCCCAGCGUAAACACAUACAUCGCCAUCAGCAGGUAGGGGGGUGGACCUGCAGUCCACAAACGUGUGGUGUGUGGAG